RNAcentral lists this long non-coding RNA (6179 nucleotides) under Sus scrofa (pig). RNAcentral's name for it is "lncRNA (ENSSSCG00030066067.1)". The record is from RNAcentral. Lineage: Eukaryota; Metazoa; Chordata; Mammalia; Artiodactyla; Suidae.
GUCUUUUGUCUUUUUUUUCUUGUUAUUUUUGCUAUCUCUUGGUUCUUGGGCCGCUCCCGCGGCAUAUGGAGGUUCCCAGGCUAGGGGUUGAAUUGGAGCUGUAGCCACAGGCCUACGCCAGAGCCACAGCAACGCGGGAUCCGAGCCGAAUCUGCAACCUACACCACAGCUCACGGCAACGCCGGAUCGUUAACCCACUGAGCAAGGGAAGGGACCGAACCCGCAACCUCAUGGUUCCUAGUCGGAUUCGUUAACCACUGCGCCACGACGGGAACUCCUGCUGCAGCUGUUUUUAUUAUAAAAGAUGCUAAAUUUCUGGAAGGCAGGGCCGUGCUCAUCUUUGUAUCUCAGGUGACCGUGGAGAGGGUGUGCGCAAGGGUGAACUUGAGUGACAGCAGCCAAAAGUGGACUGAGUUCCCUGGCCACCCAGAAGUCGGCUCCUGCUCUGGGAUUUCCUCCUCACGUUGUCCAGAAGGCGCUUAGCACGUAGUAUGUGCUCCUAAAAUUUCCUCAUCAAUUGCGAAAAUACAAGCCACUUGUCUUAGUCUGUUUGAGGCGCGAUAAGAAAAUACCGCAGACUGGGUGGCUUACAACCAAAGGAAAUGCCUUCCUCACUGUCCUGGAGCCCAGAAACCGAGCCCAGGGUCCCAGCACCGCUGAGUGAGGGCCCCUCUGGGUUGGCAGACGCUUCCUGUGUCCCCACGUGGUGGAAGGGCCAGGGACUUCUUUGCAAGGGCGCGGGUCCCACUGAAGAGGCCCCUCCCUCACAGUGUAUUCAAGACCCCUUCCGGCUCCCACCCCAGGGUUGGGAGCUCACCCCAAGAAUUUGAGGAACACAGACGUUCAGACCACAGCGCCACCUUUCAAAACAGACCCGAGGGCGCGAAGGAGCAGAGACCCGCAGAGCAGCCUCGGCCUCAGGAGUGGCCGCGGGGCGGGGGGCUGCCCUGGUGUCUGUGCGUCCUUCCCGCGUCCUUCUCACUCCUGUUUCCGAGGCGCAGCAACUCCAGGGUCUGAAUCGUGCUAGCAGUUGCUCAAUGAUGCCACAGCAUAUGCAGGGGAUUCUGGCAGGAACCGGGAUUGCAGAAGCAAAAGCCCCCCACCAAAGGUUUACGGCUUCUUGUCUGUCACCAGCUGAUUGUAAAGCUGAACCUAAAUAUGUCAUUCGUUCCGUGCAAACUCUCCAGCUGCAAACUCUAACUGUGAGCGUCAGGGCCCUCGGAGCUCCCUCCUCGUAGACAGAGGAGAGGCUCUGACCCCGAGGCCUGGGAGGGGCUCCCGGGCUCCUGGUCCCCCGGUCCCGGGGCUCACAGCCAUCCCGCGGGGCAGGAGGGUGCAGGCCCAGAGAGGAGAGCCCUGGUGUAAGUCCAUCCUGCCCUCCAGCCCGCGGCUUCCCAGGGGCAGAAGGCCUUCCAGGGGCACCCUCCUCGGAUCCUCAACACGAUCCUGAGAAGAGGGCAAAGGGAUGUCAUGAGCUCCGUUUUCAGAGGGAAACUCAUUUUCAGAACUGCAACUCGCUGGAGGCCACAGAGCCAGCCGUGGGCUCCAGGGUCCCGCCUGGAGUUCAGAGAAGCCCAGGCUUCGACUCCCUCCAAGACUAUGUGAGCCGCCCCUGGAGGGGCGCCUACUGCACCCCAAUGCCACGCACGCACUCAGGAGCUGGACCAGCCAGAGGGGAAACCGGCUCCCUGUGUUCGGGGGAGAGGACGUAGGUGCGAUGGGGUUUGCAGAGCUGAUCCAGGUCUUACCCUGGCCCCCCUGGCCCCGGCAUUCCCUUCAUUUAAGCAUUAUUUAAAGAAUUUCUAUUUAUAAAGAGCACAUAAUCCUGAGAUAUGUGAUACUUUAUGUCGCUAUUGAUUCAAAAACCAUUUGUUUUUCACACAGUGGGGAGGGUGGCAGGGUUGGUAUGGGUCCGCCUUCUCUCUCUGCCACACACGCACUCGCGCACACACACGUGCAUGCGUGCGCACCGGGUUUCAGGCCCUCUCUUCCCGCAGGGAGAGAACACCAGAGCAUGGAGAUUACAAGGGUUUGGACACAGGAUUUAGGGAGAGUUACAGACGUAAGAGCAUGUUUUUAUCCAGAUUUACUGAAGCGCAGCAUCUCGGCACAGUGACUACCUCGCGGCUCUGGGGCGCGCUCUGCUCUCCACGUGGCCGACUGAGGCUGCUGCAGGAGGUCCCCCUGGAUGGCAGGACAGAGGGGUGGCCUGGGAGCCCCUGGCCCUUGACAAAAGCACCAGGGAGAGCAGCCCGAGACGAGCUCGGCUCAGCCCAGGGUGGCAGGAAUCAGGACAGACAAGGAGAUGAGACGAGGCGCCAUGAGAUGCAAACACAUCGUGGUGUCCCCACAGGAGGAGAUGGGCACGGGUGUCAGGUCACCAAUUAGGAGCCAACUCUACGGUGGGGGCAGGAGGCUGUCAGGAGGACGCACGGCUGAGCUUUCGCGGUUCUUGGGGUCCCAAGAUACCAACCAGAGGAGCUUCCUGGGGGAGGAGACAGUAGGGACGAGAGGGCAGAGGGAAGAGAGGAGGGCAGGUCCGCAGGUUCUGAGGAUGCAGGAAGCCUCCCCCGCCCUCCAUGGGCCAGAGGGUCAGGCUCGGGCUUUAGACCAGCGGCCCCGAGAACAGAGUGCAGGGGGAGGGGUCGUGACACAGGGUGGGGGUCGCAGAGGAGAGGAGCCCAACCCUCCACCCCUGACCUGGGGUGCCCCUCGGGCAGAGUCGCCGCCCACCACACCAGGACCAAGGCAUUUCCAGUCGCAAGCUUGCUGGGUUUUCGGGGCUCUAGCAGCAUAUGAAUGAAAAGUCCCUCCUGUUCACAAAGCUCAAAAGUGAGGAAUCUUUGGAAUUUUUGAAAUUACACUGUAUCUGAUGGCCCUGUGAUGUUAUGUGUAGUUGCAGCUGUUGGUAAAGGUUAUCAACAUAGGCACUUCACUAUUCCUGGUGCACUUUCUUGCAGAAUAUGUGCUAGAAAAAUUAGUUUGGAAACACCCAAAAUCUAUAGAAAAGUGCAAACGUAAAAAUUCCUUCUGAUAAAUUUUAAUUUUAAUGUGUCUAUGGAUGUUGUAUCUUUGCCAAAUAAUUCUACUUCCUGGGGUAAGAAGAAAGACAGACAAAAAGAAGGGAACAAGGCAGGUGAGAAGGAGACGCGAGGGAGGGAGGGCUGGAAAUGCUCGGAGCAGACCCAGAGCAGGCGAGGUCGCUGGCGUUUUGAAGGCUUGGGAAACACUGUGACUACCUAUGGGAGAGGCCCUGGCAAUCGUGUUUUGAUAUUAUCCAGUCUGUAGUGAUUAAUAACGGUAAACAAGGAGACAGACAUAUCUUCAGUGUCAAUGCACGCACGUGUUCAAAGGAACACUUUUGACAAAGUAGAACAAAACCAGGGCCGCCUGCACCAGAAGAUGAAAUGGACGUGUGCAGUGUUGCCAGGGACGCGGGGCAGAAGGAAAUACAGCAAGAAAGAUUCAGUUGUGCAAAGACACACUUGAUUGAUUGAUUGAUUGAUUGAUUGAAGUUUCGGGUUUUUAGGGCCGCACCUGUGACAUCUGGAAGUUCCCAGGCCAGGGGUUGAAUGGGAGCUGCAGCUGCCAGCCUACACCACAGCCACUGCAACGCGGGAUCUGAGAAGCGUCUGCCACCUGCACUGCAGCUUGAGACAAUGCUGGGUCCUUAACCCACUGAGCGAGGCCAGGGAUUGAACCUGCAUCCUUGUGGAUACUAGUCAGCUUUGUUGCCACUGAGCCACAACAGGAAUCGGGUUCUCCUUCUGUGAUGAUGCAGCACCCCGACCCCCACUGUAAUCGCAGGUGGCCUGACUCAGGACAACUCCUCACCGUACGUUUGCACUUUUCUAUAGAUAUUGGGUGUUUCCAAACUAAUUUUUCUAGCACAUAUUCUGCAGCGCGAGGCUCUGGAGAUGGACGUGAUGGGGUCACAGCCUGCCUGUCAUGACCUGGGGACACAAUUGUGUCCUGCUGUCUGUGAAGUGGGGACAGUCACUGUAUCCAGCUGAGAAGGGCCAGCAGAAGGACUAGUGGGGAUGGCACAGCUGGAACCCUGGGGACUCCCCACAUGUCUGCUCCCCAACAACAGUUAAGCACAGCCUCCGAUGCAUCCAGUGACCCUUUUCUUCCCUUCUUCUGUCUCGGGCAGCUCAGGCUGCUGCAACAAGCACACCCCAGUGGGCUACGUCCUGCCUGCCUGGUGCACCUGCAUUGCAGGCAGGGCGGAGCGGGGCAAGCAGACUCUGGAGUCUUUUAUCAGGUCGCUAAUCCCUCCACAAGGGCCCCACCCUCGCGACCCAGUCACCUUGGGGGUCGGGGCUUCAGUAGAUGAGUUUAGGGCACACAAGCUUUCAGGCCACAACAGUGCCUGAUGAGCCUUUCACCCUGACAUGGUUCCUUGUGGAAGGUGUGAGCUUUAAAAAACAGUAAAGAGCAAAGCGAUUGUCGCUAAGGAGGGAUUAGGGCAUUUUUAGCAGGGAUUAUGCAAUCCUGAUGUAUUAUUUAAGUGAAAUACACCAGUCACUCUGUACUUUAUGCCUUCUUUCUAUGUCCUUGUGUUUUAAAAGCUCUAUAAAAAGCGAAUGACUCAGCAUGAAUUGCAUUGUGUGCAAACAAAUACAUCCUUCUGCCUGGUGCCCAGAUGCGGGAGGGUGAACCCAGGCUGUCCUGAUUCCCACGUUCCUUCGUGGUGAGGUUUCAUCACCCUCCAGAGCCAAAGCACUGAACGCAAGGAAAUGGGGGUCUCGACGGACAGAAAUGGGGGCAAAUCCCAUAAGCUUAUGUCCCAUCGCACUCCUCAUGGGUGCGCAGGGCAUGCGGCCAGCCUCCAACAGCAACGGCCUGGACCCACCCGUCACCUGCCCGGGCCUAAACUUCACCCUAGUCUGUGGGGGCUUCAGGCCACUCCUGGUUUCCAAUCCUGUCUGCAUUUCACAUGGUGUUUGUGUAAACAUCACAGGGUCAGAACCACCCUAACCACCCACUAUGCAACUCUACAACAAACAAUGAAACUCUUAGAGCCUGUAAAAUCAGAGUCAGAAGGUGGGGUCAGUGCCUAUAAACUGGUCUCCAGCUCGCUCUUCAUUCGCUGCUAAAAAGACCUAUAAUUUCAAUGAAGAAAGCCGGCCAAGAGGGAUGAUCUCUCCCUCAAAACCACUUAGCGAAGACAGCCAUUCUGUUCACACUUGAACGUUUCGGUGGUUUAGGGAAGAAGAGGCAGGUGCUAGGAGAGGGAUAUGCCUCAUUUGCUGUCAACCGACAGGUCCACCCAACCACGCAAGCGUACCCAAGCUCAGUGACAGUCACGUGAAACAAGAGGACAGCCGCCUCUGGAGGAGCAAGUUCCCUGGGUGCACAGGAAGCGUGUAAAGCAGAACCAGGUCUGAGACCAUCCUUCUUCAGGAAGGAGAGUGAGCAGGUCAGGAUUCUGUAAGCGGACACCUGGGCACCUGCUCAAGUGCCCCCGAGCUGCACGGGGGUGGUGGGGGCAGGUGGGGCAAGGGGCCUUGUUACACAUCCUUCUAGUUGCUUCCAGAUUAACUGCCCCCGAGCAGGGGUCUUGGUGGACCUGCCUUGACCCUUUACUACACAUUGCUGCCUGUGCCAUGAGCUGCCCCCAGCUGCAGGUGUGGACGUAGGUGUGGACCAUCAGACUGUGGUCUCAUGUGUUAGCCUUUCAUUGACACGUCCGUCUUGAAAAUUCUUGUCUUACACGCCAUGCAACUAUAAAAAAGUCCGUUUGUAUGAUAAAACCCAAUGAAAAAUGCAGACAUUUUGAACAAAUCUGUAUAAAAAUGAAAAGCAUUCAAGACCAGACAACCAGUUUGCUUUAACAUAGCUUAAAAUUUCUUUCUGUGAUGAGAAAAAUUCAAAGCGAGGACAGGUACGUGACCCACCCAAGGCCACACCGGGGUCUGAGCCAGGUCUCAGGAUGUAAAGUCCCUGUCACCAUCUGCUCAGCGUGUCCGCCGUGAUGGGUGGACAGCAAAAGUGAGCCAUCCCUCGGGAGGUGGGGCUGACCAUCCCUGUGCCCGCGGACGGCAGCCGUGACGGGACGCUGGUCCAGCCGCUGUGACGCGGGUCCAGGAAGGCGCUACAUCGCAGCUACAGACGACUGGCUACGCGCCGUGAGGGUGCAGGUGAAGCGGGAGACCCGGCAUCCGAAGGCGUGGUCC